Mus musculus (house mouse) is the source of this 1733-nucleotide long non-coding RNA. RefSeq annotates it as predicted gene 17115. The transcript is spliced from 2 exons. Lineage: Eukaryota; Metazoa; Chordata; Mammalia; Rodentia; Muridae. The record is from RefSeq and is marked validated.
AAAUGACAGAAAAAGCAUCCUCUCGAGUGUACUGUGGCGCCAAACCUCUAAUCCGAACGUAAGGCUUGAUACUUGGGGUCUAAACUGGAGGUGGGAUUCCCAAACUCUACUUCUGGCGUUACGUGUGAAGGGGAUGAAUACUUUAUAUUUUACAUGGAUUUAAACAUACGUAGAAGUCUAUUCUUUAACAAAGCAAAGAUGUCGGCUAAAUUCUAUUUGCGUGAGUGAGAAAUGGCAUUGAAAAGAAUGAUGUGAAUUAUGCCUAUUUGGCUGCGCUUCUAAUAUUCUCUCUCAUUUUGUGAUCGAUGGUUGUCACCAAGGUCUCUGUGGCUGGGGAUUUACCCAUUCUGCUUACUCUUUUCAAAUUCUCUCUUGAACCCACCUCGCCACUAUUGCCCUCACAAAGUCACUUCUAGAGCAAAACAUUUUGGGAAUGGAAGGACACAGAACCAUUCUUAAGAUUCGAAGCAUUCCAAAGAUUCUUCAGUAAGUGGAAGUUUGCGCAGGUCGCAGCGGAGCUCCAGGACUCUGAACACAUAAACCUGGAAUACUCCACAGAUGACUUCCAGGGCAGACAUUCCUGCAAUCAGGAGAACCAGCCUGACUGCGGAGGUAGAACUAAGUUCACAGAGGAAUGGUAGAAAUCAGAAAGGAAGCCUUGAAGAGAGAAGAUUGGAAUUAUGCCCAUGGAGGCCAGAAGAGGGCACUGAAUCCGCGGAGAUGGACUUAUAAACUGCAGAACGUGGGUCCUGGUACAGAAUUUGGGUACUUUACAAAAACAAUAUGCACUCUAAACCACGAAGCCAGCGUUCCAGCCCCCAACUCUUCAGACUCCCACCCAGUUCUCUCUUCUUCACAUUUAUAAAAAAUAUUUAAUAUUUACUGACAAAUUAGCAGACUGUGUCCUUCUCUGCUUUCCAUUUUUACCUCUUUUCUCUCUAGUUCCUUUCCCUAUCGUUUCUGUAUUAUUUUCCCUUUCAGAGAUUUCCCCAAGGAACACAGGCUGGCCUGGUUUUCAGGGUCUCUGGUCUCAGCCUGCUGCUAAUGGCUGGGACGGCUUUAGGUUAUCUGCUUGCAAUUCUGUACUUUUAAACAAGCUUCCCUCCUCUGCACCCUCAUGUCACUACUGUCCCCUUGUAGUUACUUUUUCCUUGCCUACUGUUUGUCAUCAACACGGGAAGAACUGAGUCAGUCCUUGGACUCCAUCUCCAGUGUGGUUUCUCCUGCCCAGGACAUUCAGCCAACUUCAAAUUGACUUACUUCAACGUUCGGUGCGCGUAUACUUGACAUCUCUGUGUCUACACUGCUAGGACAUCAUCAUUGGUCCCCUUUCAGAUUCUUCUUUGCACCCGCCUCAGCUCAAUGCCUCCUACUUCAGGACCACCUUUAUGUUUCUUUUCCUUUCUACUCGUAACUAAUGUUGUUGAUACACUUGUUCAAAACAGAGUCAUACUGUUCCUCUAUUUUCUAAAGUGAUUGGUAUUUGAGGCAUGGUACUUUGUGGGUUUAAAUGCACUUUACAAUGAGCCUAGCUGUGGAUAGUGACUAUUACAGACACUAUUUCCCUGUUAACCUGGUGGGCCAAACAUUAUGCAGCAGAAUUAACCAAAACUUCAUCCCUACUACAACCUGAAAAUUGCAAUCAGUUCCAUUUCAAAGAGCAAUAUGAUUUAAAAAACAACAACAACAAUAACCGGUGAUUUAACCUCAAAUAAAGAAGCUUUAUUGGAAAA